AAAGCGUUAACCGAAAAGCUUAUAGAGUAGGGA
Molecule: non-coding RNA, 33 nt
Filed under: unclassified sequences
Description: DUF805b RNA
Rfam family: DUF805b RNA
About the family: Bacteroidetes, Chlorobi (1 example), Proteobacteria. Lineage (Flavobacteria)
Source: RNAcentral